CACCCUCCGGCACGUGCAGUCGUCGUGCAGGAGCUUGCACGCGCAGCCCAAAGCGAGGGGGAGGGGGAGAGGAGAAGGGGAAGAGGGAAACGGCGGAGGAGAAGGAGAAGGAGUGGAGGAGGGAGAUGAGCGCGCUCACUCAGCAUCAGCAACACACACACACACGCACAAAGAGGUCGGAGAGCUGGCUCGUGAAUGGGAGAUGACGGAGCGCUGCAGGACGCGCUCAGAACAGGACUGAUACUCGCAUCCAUCAUACACACAGGGAGGUAAAAAAGCUCUCCGUAACCAUGGUGAUGGACAGUAAGGAGGCUAAGCAUGACGUGCGUGUAGAAGUAACCCUAUCUGAAGGCCCAGGUAAACAGAGCAGACGUCUUAAAGAGACAGUAAAUGUAGCGGUUAAAGGUGAUAAUUACCUUAUUUAAGCACUGUCUCUUUAAGAAGAGUGUGAUGCUGAUGGGUUGUAAGUGGUCAUUUAAGCUUCUUACAAAAACCCAUCCAGGACUUGUGUGCCGUGCUCUGCGCUCUAAUCAUGUGCCUCCGAUUUAUACCAUUGCUGUGUAUUGAAUGACGCUGUGCAUCUUGUGAUACUACAUAUUAUUACCUUUCCAUGAUUUAUAUUUAAAUUAUAUUCAAAUCUAUUCCAGGUUUGGAAGUAGUGUUGAGUCAAUAGAAUGCUGCACUCAGCGAAUAAGGCAGUUAUGCGCCAUAUUUAGCUGCACUAUAGUAUAUUGAGCAUUACAAUAUUGAGCUAAAGAAUGGUAUCAGAGAUGAAUAUCUCUUGAUGUAUUGGAGAUUUUGCUUGUAUGAUGCUUGAGAACCAGGCAAUUUUAUUCGAACCCUCUCCACACACCCAGAACAGUGUUAUUCAGGAUGUGUAGUGCAUGUAGUAUAGUGUUAGACCAUGCUGUAGUAACUGAAUGCAGAAAUCCAACUCAUCACAAUUUCCGUGACUCUAACACAAGAAUUUACAGGUUUGCAGAUUGGACUUUAUUGGACGUUUAAUAAACAAUGAAAUCUCAAGUGCCAAGUAUUAGUGCUGUACACUAUGUCACAUAAUACGACAUACUGUACAGGAGUUACAAUGACAUGAGGUGAGAGAGCUCUUCUUCCUUCAUGGAUGCUAACAACCGUACCUCCAGUUCAGUGUAUGCGUUACUAAGUGGAGCUCUCAACACUGAUAUCGUUUAAUAGAUUUCUUUAUGUAUUAAGUAUGUCUAAAUGGCCAGCGGUAUGAAUCUUCAGCAUUCCCUGAUUGUCAGUGUUGGUAAUUAAAUGAAAUUUUGAGGUUUAUUAACAGGAUAGAUACAAAUCCAAAAAUCAUCAACAAUAAGCCAGUCCUGGUCAUACACAGAAUAUCAGAGGGCAAACAGAAUCCAAUUCACAAAUCCAAAGUUCAGGUCAAGGUACUUUUUUCUUUUAGCCAUUAUUCUACACACUGCAGUUGAUGUUACUGCAGUUCUCCUGCAAUGCUCAGAAAUCAUUCAUGGUUUCAGGAGGGACAUUAGACAAGCGAUUUGUAAAAGGAUUAUUAUGAAAAUAUAGUGUUAUUUUUCUUACUGUUCAUGUUGUUUACCACCCUCCACGGUUCUGCUGCAUUAUAAGACCGUUUUUGUUGAGAUGGGGCAAAAAAAGGGAAGUGGGGCUCAAUGGGAAAAAGUUUUAAUACCUCUGGC
This is a long non-coding RNA of Ictalurus punctatus (channel catfish), 1676 nucleotides long. Lineage: Eukaryota; Metazoa; Chordata; Actinopteri; Siluriformes; Ictaluridae. The record is from Ensembl.